Molecule: long non-coding RNA, 1483 nt
Filed under: Bemisia tabaci
Lineage: Eukaryota; Metazoa; Arthropoda; Insecta; Hemiptera; Aleyrodidae
Description: lncRNA ENSSSA1UGG010893
Source: RNAcentral
GAACAUUCCCAAAGUUUCAUUACCCUAGCUCAUUUCGUUCAAAAGUUAGCAGGGGUGGGACGGACUUUUGGUACACCCUGUAUAUUCUCUCUAUAUGCCUUCAUUUCUGAUUUAGCAGUAAUUAGGGUCCUAAAUUUUAGUUUUUUUUCUUCUUUUUUCUUUCUUUUUUUUCUCUCUUCAGUCAUUUCUCUUCUUUCAUACUCACAACCCACUGAAAAGAAAUUUUUCCAAGUUUUUAAGUGGAGAGGAUUGGGGGACAAGACGCACAGAAAUUUUUUGAAUUUUUUCUAUUCCAAGAAAUAUGUGUUUAUAGUUUCAAAAUUUCGUAGGGCCUAAUGGCGGAAAGGAAUAGUUCAAGCUCAAUUUUUGAUGCUUUAAAGUUGGAUUUUAGUUGUGAAUUUUCUAAGGAUAUUAUAUACCUACUCUCAAAUUAGAUUUACUUAGAUGAGUUUAUGAAUAUCUCAAUUUUUUCAAAAACUGUACUGAAUGAGCCUUGUUCUCCAAGCCCUUCUAUGAUUAAUUUUGUACCCUAGCUCUUAUCUCAGGUUACCAAUAUGCCACCUUUUUCGUUUGGACGCUUUCCAGUGUUGUCGAGUUUAGACUUUGUCCGGAGGUGGCUACCGCCACCCAUGAUAGAUUCACCACGCUAUACCUCUCCCUCACCUGAGAAUUCCUGGGUUGUUCCAUGAAAACAAUAGGAAUUUUUUAUUUACAUUGUGUCUUACACGUAGACCGCGUUCAGCAGAAAGGAACCAAGCCACAUCAGCCAUUGCCAAAUUUGAUCGGCUAAUUUAAUUUUUUACAUGAAAACAGUUGUGCGGAUUUUCGUGCAAAUUUCAGUGAAUUUUCUCCAUCGUACGAAGCAAAUUCCUUAACAUUUUCAAAGGGAUCCGCACAAACGUUUUCUCGUAAAAAAUAAAAUGCCCAGUUAAAAUUGGCUAUAGCUGACGUGGCUUGGUUCCUUUCUGUUAAACGCGGUCCAUUUGUACCUUCAGAUGUUAAUUUCGGACAAGUUUUGUCUGCUUUGAAAAGAGUAGGAAAUAUGUUGAUUUGAGAGAAAUCGACGACUCCUUUCUGGUUUUUUUUCAGUAGGAAAUGAAAUUGUUAUUUUUUCGAAACGUCCCGGGUUUUUAUGUUAUUGCAGCUUCUCCUUAUGUUACUUCAUUGGUUAAUUAAAUCGUUCAUUAUUACUCGAAGGCUCCACGUAUGAUCAAUGUGAGCUAAAAGCCUAUCAUGGAAACUUGAGUCGUUGAAUUGGGAUUAUUUAUGUUUCCGUCAUCUCGAGCUUUCCUUUUCUUCAAUCUCUCUUUUCGCAUUUUGAAGUGUCUAACUGAAACUUAUCAUUUCAACCCACUCGUACAAGCCCUUGUUUGCCCCCCCCCCCCCCAAAUUUCCUUCUCGCAGUUUCGAGGGAUUACUUUUCCAACAUGAGAAAAUCUCGUGUAAAAUUUGAGCAAUUUUAUUGAAACCGAAAAGUCUCCCU